AGAAAUAAUAGGAGCAAUAAUCCAGCAGAAAAAUUUGGUGAAGAAGAACAAGAAAAGAAUACCUUUAUCCUGAUAGGCAUGGAAAUACCGGUUCGCAUUGAGUGCAUCAUCGCUAAUCAGCUACUAUAGAGCAACGGAUAUAGAAGAAAUAUGUAAACAAUUGUCCCUAGAAGAAAUAUGCAACAACUUAUUCAGUAGAGAGCAAGGGACAUAUAAGAAAUCUCCAGGCAGCUUCACUUAGAUGCAUCAUCUUCUGCUAGGACCUAGGAGUCAUCUUGAAGAACG
Triticum aestivum (bread wheat) is the source of this 285-nucleotide long non-coding RNA. RefSeq lists it as uncharacterized. The record is from RefSeq and is a predicted model, not a curated record. NCBI's taxonomy places the organism in Eukaryota, Viridiplantae, Streptophyta, Magnoliopsida, Poales, Poaceae. The transcript has 4 exons.